RNAcentral lists this ribosomal RNA (459 nucleotides) under uncultured organism. RNAcentral's name for it is "partial 16S ribosomal RNA". It matches the Rfam family "Bacterial small subunit ribosomal RNA", at positions 329 to 797 of the family's 1533-position model. The record is from RNAcentral.
ACGUACACCCCUACGGGAGGCAGCAGUGGGGAAUAUUGCACAAUGGGCGCAAGCCUGAUGCAGCGACGCCGCGUGGGGGAUGAAGGCCUUCGGGUUGUAAACUCCUUUCGCUAGGGACGAAGCUUUUUUGUGACGGUACCUAGAUAAGAAGCACCGGCUAACUACGUGCCAGCAGCCGCGGUAAUACGUAGGGUGCGAGCGUUGUCCGGAAUUACUGGGCGUAAAGGGCUCGUAGGUGGUUUGUCGCGUCGUCUGUGAAAUUCUGGGGCUUAACUCCGGGCGUGCAGGCGAUACGGGCAUAACUUGAGUGCUGUAGGGGUAACUGGAAUUCCUGGUGUAGCGGUGAAAUGCGCAGAUAUCAGGAGGAACACCGAUGGCGAAGGCAGGUUACUGGGCAGUUACUGACGCUGAGGAGCGAAAGCAUGGGUAGCGAACAGGAUUAGAUACCCGAGUAGUCCC